CGCGGGGUGGAGAAGUUGGUAUCUCGUCAGGCUCAUAACCUGAAGAUCGGUGGUUCAAGUCCGCCCCCCGCAACCA
RNAcentral lists this transfer RNA (76 nucleotides) under Candidatus Phascolarctobacterium equi. Its description in RNAcentral is "tRNA-Met". It matches the Rfam family "tRNA". Rfam says of the family: Transfer RNA (tRNA) molecules are approximately 80 nucleotides in length. Their secondary structure includes four short double-helical elements and three loops (D, anti-codon, and T loops). Lineage: Bacteria; Bacillati; Bacillota; Negativicutes; Acidaminococcales; Acidaminococcaceae. The record is from RNAcentral.